CGAGUGAAGCGGGACUAGCUCAGGAUGUGAAUCUGCGCUCUUAUGGCGCCGAAUUGUGGUCUGUAGACUUUGACGUUAUUUGCCGGGCCAAGUUCCUUGGAAAAGGACAGCUGAGAGGGUGAGACUCCCGUCCGCCUGGUAGAAUGAGUCAUGUGUCAACGAGUCGAGUUGUUUGGGAUUGCAGCUCUAAUUUGGUGGUAAAUUCCAUCUAAAGCUAAAUAUUGGUGGGAGACCGAUAGCGUACAAGUACCGUGAGGGAAAGAUGCAAAGAACUUUGAAAAGAGAGUUAAAGAGUACCUGAAAUUGCUGAAACGGAAGCGAAGGAAACCAGUGUUUGUUGGUUCAUAUUUCCCUGGCCACUUGUGGUUUGGGCGCUGUGAGCUUGCGUGGGUUUGUUUUGAUUGAUCCCUUUGGAAGAGCGCAGACAGAGUUGAUGUCUGUUGCUAGCACUGGGUUUGAUUGAUGCAGACGAAAUGGUUUUCUUUACCCCGUCUUGAAACACGGACCAAGGAGUCUAACAUAUGUG
This 526-nucleotide ribosomal RNA is filed under the name Pseudo-nitzschia sp. SB-2012. Its description in RNAcentral is "eukaryotic LSU rRNA". It matches the Rfam family "Eukaryotic large subunit ribosomal RNA", at positions 90 to 686 of the family's 3401-position model. The record is from RNAcentral. Lineage: Eukaryota; Bacillariophyta; Bacillariophyceae; Bacillariales; Bacillariaceae.